AGACAAAGAAGUAUUCAAAUUGGCGGAGUUGAGCAACAAAUAAUCAACUCGAAAUAAUUGUAUAUUUAAAUUCAGGUUUCAAUAUCGGGUGAAUACAAUAAUUGGAUAUGCAUUCCUGAUUUAAAGGACAUAAAAUAUGCGCAUCCUCACAAACAGCUUGAGCAUGAAUUCGCUUGGGAAAUGUGGACAUUCUUGCAAUGAAAUUCUUGGCAGA
Molecule: long non-coding RNA, 214 nt
Organism: Dendronephthya gigantea
Lineage: Eukaryota; Metazoa; Cnidaria; Anthozoa; Malacalcyonacea; Nephtheidae
Exons: 3
Source: RefSeq, a predicted model, not a curated record